CGGACGGGUGAGUAAUGACUAGGAAUCUGCCUGGUAGUGGGGGAUAACGUUCGGAAACGGACGCUAAUACCGCAUACGUCCUACGGGAGAAAGCAGGGGACCUUCGGGCCUUGCGCUAUCAGAUGAGCCUAGGUCGGAUUAGCUAGUUGGUGAGGUAAUGGCUCACCAAGGCGACGAUCCGUAACUGGUCUGAGAGGAUGAUCAGUCACACUGGAACUGAGACACGGUCCAGACUCCUACGGGAGGCAGCAGUGGGGAAUAUUGGACAAUGGGCGAAAGCCUGAUCCAGCCAUGCCGCGUGUGUGAAGAAGGUCUUCGGAUUGUAAAGCACUUUAAGUUGGGAGGAAGGGCAGUUGCCUAAUACGUAACUGUUUUGACGUUACCGACAGAAUAAGCACCGGCUAACUCUGUGCCAGCAGCCGCGGUAAUACAGAGGGUGCAAGCGUUAAUCGGAAUUACUGGGCGUAAAGCGCGCGUAGGUGGUUUGUUAAGUUGGAUGUGAAAUCCCCGGGCUCAACCUGGGAACUGCAUUCAAAACUGACUGACUAGAGUAUGGUAGAGGGUGGUGGAAUUUCCUGUGUAGCGGUGAAAUGCGUAGAUAUAGGAAGGAACACC
Molecule: ribosomal RNA, 615 nt
Filed under: Pseudomonas sp. EECC-344
Lineage: Bacteria; Pseudomonadati; Pseudomonadota; Gammaproteobacteria; Pseudomonadales; Pseudomonadaceae
Description: bacterial SSU rRNA
Rfam family: Bacterial small subunit ribosomal RNA
Source: RNAcentral